CAAUAGCGUAUAUUUAAGUUGUUGCAGUUAAAAAGCUCGUAGUUGGAUUUCGGUUAAGAGCGACCGGUCCGCCGUUUGGUGUGCACUGGUUGGUUUUAACUUCCUGUAGAGGACGUGCUCUGGGUUUAACGACCUGGACUCGGAGUCUACGUGGUUACUUUGAAAAAAUUGGAGUGUUCAAAGCGGGCUUACGCUUGAAUAUUUCAGCAUGGAAUAACACUAUAGGACUCCUGUCCUAUUUCGUUGGUCUCGGGACGGGAGUAAUGAUUAAGAGGAACAGUUGGGGGCAUUCGUAUUUCAUUGUCAGAGGUGAAAUUCUUGGAUUUAUGAAAGACGAACUUCUGCGAAAGCAUUUGCCAAGGAUGUUUNCAUUA
RNAcentral lists this ribosomal RNA (374 nucleotides) under uncultured eukaryote. RNAcentral's name for it is "partial 18S ribosomal RNA". It matches the Rfam family "Eukaryotic small subunit ribosomal RNA", at positions 592 to 975 of the family's 1831-position model. The record is from RNAcentral.